This 342-nucleotide unclassified non-coding RNA is filed under the name soil metagenome. RNAcentral's name for it is "partial contains 5.8S ribosomal RNA, internal transcribed spacer 2, and large subunit ribosomal RNA". The stretch from base 1 to 120 matches the Rfam family "5.8S ribosomal RNA", at positions 35 to 154 of the family's 154-position model. The record is from RNAcentral.
GAUGAAGAACGCAGCGAAAUGCGAUAAGUAAUGUGAAUUGCAGAAUUCAGUGAAUCAUCGAAUCUUUGAACGCACAUUGCGCCCGGCAGUAUUCUGCCGGGCAUGCCUGUUCGAGCGUCAUUUCAACCAUCAAGCCCCCGGGUUUGGUGUUGGGGAUCGGGCUGUACUCCAGCCCGGCCCCGAAAUCUAGUGGCGGUCUCGCUGCAGCCUCCAUUGCGUAGUAGCUAACACCUCGCAACUGGAACGCGGCGCGGCCAAGCCGUUAAACCCCCAACUUCUGAAUGUUGACCUCGGAUCAGGUAGGAAUACCCGCUGAACUUAAGCAUAUCAAUAAGCGGAGGA